This 417-nucleotide ribosomal RNA is filed under the name uncultured bacterium. RNAcentral describes it as "partial 16S ribosomal RNA". It matches the Rfam family "Bacterial small subunit ribosomal RNA", at positions 355 to 762 of the family's 1533-position model. The record is from RNAcentral.
UGGGGAAUUUUGGACAAUGGGGGCAACCCUGAUCCAGCAAUGCCGCGUGUGUGAAGAAGGCCUUCGGGUUGUAAAGCACUUUUGUCCGGAAAGAAAACGUCGUGGUUAAGUAACCCGUGGCGGCUGACGGUACCGGAAGAAUAAGCACCGGCUAACUACGUGCCAGCAGCCGCGGUAAUACGUAGGGUGCAAGCGUUAAUCGGAAUUACUGGGCGUAAAGCGUGCGCAGGCGGUCCGCUAAGACAGAUGUGAAAUCCCCGGGCUUAACCUGGGAACUGCAUUUGUGACUGGCGGGCUAGAGUAUGGCAGAGGGGGGUAGAAUUCCACGUGUAGCAGUGAAAUGCGUAGAGAUGUGGAGGAAUACCGAUGGCGAAGGCAGCCCCCUUGGGCCAAUACUGAGCUCAUGCACGAAAGCGU